GACGGUGGUUCAAGUCCACUUAGGCCCAUUGGAUGGGGCCUUAGCUCAGCUGGGAGAGCGCCUGCUUUGCAAGCAGGAGGUCAUCGGUUCGAUCCCGAUAGGCUCCACCAUAUCAAGGUAAGAGGUUUCAACGUAGUUGCUUUGCGUCUGCGUCUACAAGCGGAUUCGGAGAAGCUGAAUUCCUCGACGCAAACCAGCGAAGAAGCGAAUUCAAAGGAGCUGCUUUGCGUCUGUGCCUGCGUCUGCUAGCAGGUUCAGGGAAGCAAGAUUCCUCGGCACAAGACUGCAGAGAAGCAAAUUCAAGAAGCAGUCUCGUUCCUUGAAAACUAGAUAACCGGAAAAGCGGAGGCUCGUAAUUUCGCCUAAAGGCAGCCCGCGUCCUGCGGGCAACGGCGAAAUAUCGCCAUCGUGGCGAUCGCGAUGGGCAAAUGUUCUUCGCCUGGAGGGAUUUACAAUCCCGAAGGCGAAGGUUAUUUGACCCCGAGCGGCGGCGAGCCGAAGCUAGACAGUAAGGAA
This 516-nucleotide unclassified non-coding RNA is filed under the name Geobacillus vulcani. Its description in RNAcentral is "partial 16S-23S ribosomal RNA intergenic spacer". The stretch from base 35 to 107 matches the Rfam family "tRNA". The record is from RNAcentral. Lineage: Bacteria; Bacillati; Bacillota; Bacilli; Caryophanales; Anoxybacillaceae.